UACAGAGGGUGCAAGCGUUGCUCGGAAUUACUGGGCGUAAAGCGUGUGUAGGCGGUCUUGUAAGUCGGGUGUGAAAGCCCUAGGCUCAACCUAGGAACUGCGCCCGAUACUGUGAGACUUGAGUGUCGGAGAGGAUAGUGGAAUUCCCAGUGUAGAGGUGAAAUUCGUAGAUAUUGGGAGGAACACCAGUGGCGAAGGCGGCUAUCUGGACGAACACUGACGCUGAGACACGAAAGCGUGGGGAGCAAACAGG
Molecule: ribosomal RNA, 253 nt
Filed under: uncultured bacterium
Lineage: Bacteria
Description: partial 16S ribosomal RNA
Rfam family: Bacterial small subunit ribosomal RNA
Source: RNAcentral